Molecule: long non-coding RNA, 3938 nt
Organism: Phyllostomus discolor (pale spear-nosed bat)
Lineage: Eukaryota; Metazoa; Chordata; Mammalia; Chiroptera; Phyllostomidae
Exons: 3
Source: RefSeq, a predicted model, not a curated record
ACUGCUAGAGGUGGGCUGAAAACUCAGGCAGGAGUUGAUGCUGUGGUCUUGGGAGAGAAUUUCUUCCUCCUGGAAGAACUGUUUUUGUUCUGAAGGCCUUCACUUGAUUCAGUAAAGUCCACUCACCCAUAUAUUAAUGAUAAAUUACUCAAAGUCAGCUGAUUGUAGAUGUUAAUCACACCUAAAAAUACCUUCGCAACAAUAUCCAAGUUGAUGUUUGAUGAAAUACUGGGUGCUCUAGUCUAGCCAACUUUGUUAAACUAUCAUAGACAGUAUACUUAAACUAUGAGGCUAAAACUAUAUGAUUUGAUUAGGGUCGGGUGUGGAUAAUGUUAGCCCCUUUGAUCUGGAAACUACUUUAGUGGUAAUGUGGCAUAACAUUUUAUUAACCUUUAAGAAAUAUCUAGAUGGCAUCCACUCAUUUACAUGAACAUGUAGCACCUUUGCAAGCAGGAGGCCUGGAACCUGCUGGAGGAGCUCCUGAUCCAGGUGAGAGAGUGUCUGACAACAAAGGGAGACCCCAGAUUGAAGGGUGGGGUGGGGAGUGGAAGGACUCUGUCAAGGAGUCUAGAGGGAGGGAAGGAGUCAGUUUCUUUGACAGGCUCCUACUUUGUUUUCAGGAGCUGUUAAUGUACCCCUCCCCACUCCCAGUGCAGCCCUUUUGUGCACAUGUCCCUAACUACCACCUAGAUAGAAGCUAGUAGCAUGGUUUCAGUUCAUAAUUACUUAUCGUAUUAUGUCUUCUACAAGUUAUUUACAGCCUAAUAGAUGAGUCUUAAAAUUUGAAAACCAUGUCAUGGAAAUACAUUCAGUGCAGCAGAACUUUAGACUUUAAAGGGAGGGAGGGAGCUAUUUUUGGAAACUCGCACAAGAUUCAUCAGGUGGACCAGCUGUGUCCCACUCUCCAUUCCUGAAAUCUGUUCACUCUCCCUGUCAAGAGGCUGACCUCUCCCAGAACUGCUUAUGCCCCAUUAGCCUGCAGGGCCGGCCCUCCUGCAUUGAGGCAGCUGUGCUGCCUCUGUCCCUGGUUUGAUUUCCUAAUUCCCUUAUUAAUAUCAAGAGAGAUUGAGCAGCUGAAGGGUCAGCAGGAGAAAACAAAAAAAUGGACCGUUUUACUUAAAAAAUAGUGUAAAACUGCAACAUCCAUCAUCCAAAUCUAUUGAUUUUAAGAUGGUACCAGGUGGCUGCAAAACUUGCUUAAAAUAUGUAUCUAGUAACUUAUGGGAAAAUACCAAGAUUUGUGCUGGGUUAUGUCCUGGGUUCAUUCUGUUAAUAAGUGGUAUCAAUUUGUAGUGAGGUAUUUCAUAGUAGGAUAUUCAUAGCAUUGGUGACUCACAGAUAACUUUAGGUGGUACAUGGAUGAUGUUUUAUUCUAAAUAGAUGUGCUUAUUUAUCUUAGUACUUAUUCUUAUAAAAUGUGGUAUAAGUUUGUAGUUAUUUUAAUGUACAUUGAAAAGUAUAACUAUUGUAUUAAGCUAUAUAAAAUUAUCAUUAUUUCAUAUAGCUUAACAUAACAUUAAUAAAAAUUUGAGUCUAUUUGAAGAAAAUGCUAAAUAAAUAACAGACAGUAGGCAGACACAGUAAAAUUAUGACAGUGACCUGAGAAUGACUACAAUUAGAAAGCACAUAUCCAAUGAGAAAAGGCUGGACUUUGCUAUCAGGACUUUCUUUAAAUUUCAGCUCCAUGAUGGUUUCUUUAAGGUUUUAUAUUUUCAUCCACAAAGUAGAAAUGACAAUAUUUAACCUUUAGGAUAUGCUUGAGGAUUAGAGAUAAUAAUAUGAAGUAUCUGGCACAUUAUAGGCAUUCUGUAAAUAGAAAUUAUUGCUUUUAGUAUUUUAGAUCUAUCAGAAGAAAAUACCACACCUGCCACAAAGAUGAGAACAAAGUGUAAAGAUCUAGCAGUAAGACAAAAAGGCAGAAAACCCUUUAAAUCUGUGAGCCUGCAUCAGAGUAAUUAAGCAGCAGUGCAGCUGACCCAGUUUAGGGUACUUCAUUAUCUGAUAUUAGCUUCAAACACAAAAGCAGCACGAGAAUACAACAGUCAGGAUGAGCCACACUAGACCCUACACAAAAGUAGAUUCAAUGGUUUGCAAAGUGUCAUGAGCUUCAGUUAAAGGUGCAAAGAGGGAGGACUGACAGCCCUCUGACCCUUCAGAGGAAAUGGAGACAGUGACACGGACCCCUGGCUAAGUGGAAGUACUGAGAGGGGCUUGAAAGGCCAUUCUGUGCCAAGGGUCUCAUGAGCCCAUCUCAUGAGUGUUUGGAGACUUCAUUAAAUGAAAGUAACAAUACAGACUUAGUGUUUUAUCCCCUUUCUCUAUUUUAGUGAUUCAGAUCUUGUGAGUAAACACUCAGGCCUCCAAAGUAUUUCUUCUCAUCCUUUCAUCCAUCUUAGUCAAUACAUUCAUUUGCUUUUCCUCUAAGGGAAACCAGAUUCUGCUGUGUGGGUGAAUCCAAGCCCGCUACGUUAGCCUGCUAGGGCUACUGUAACAAAGUACCCCAGAUGGGGUGGUUUAGAAAACAGAUUUAUUUUCUCUCUCUUCUGGAGGACAGAAGUCUGAGGUGAGGGUGUCAGCAAGGCUGGUUUCCCCUGAGGCUUCUCUCUGUGGCAUGUGCAUGGCCUCCUGCUUCCUGGGUCCUCACUCUGCAUCUGUCUGUGCCCAACUUUCUUCUUCGUAUAAGGACACCGGUCAAAUUGGAUUAGGACACUCCCUCAUAAUCUUACUUUAAUCUAAUUACCCCUGUAAAAGCCUAUCUCCAAAAUAUAGUCACAUUCUAUGGUACAAGUGUUAGAACUUCAACAUAUGAAUUUGGGGGGACAUAACUCAGCUCAUAUAUGUGCCCAUUAACCAUUCCUGGAAAGAGGGAAUUCACAUUGAGACCCACUGAUUAGACAAUAAGCUUCAUCUUCUUCUCAGUGAACAGUGUCUAGUUGUCCAUAUCUUUGCAGUAUAUCCUAAGGAUUAGAGCCAAAUAACCAUCUUUCUGUGAAGUUGUGAAAUUAAUGAAGUUAAAUUUCAUUUGAACAUAUUAUAAAAAGAUUAAGAGGCAACACACUAUGAUUGGUGUGUUAAUUGCCAUUUACAGCUGAUGAAUGUUUUGUAAACACUGGCAUAUAGUAUAUUCUCCCUCAGUUUUUCUAGCCUCAAUUCCAGCCCUAAAUGUGCUAUUUUAAUUUCCCUUUAAGUUUGAUUUGGAUUAUGGUUCUGCCACUAGUUAUUUGAGUGGCUUUGGGCAAGUUUGCCCACCUGGGUCUCAGUCCACUCCUGUGUAAGGAGGGGAUGAUUAUUACCUGAUAGGGAGGCUAAGGGAUAACAGGACAAAAAAAGCGCUGCGAGGUUUGUUUGUAUACAGGGUGUAUUAAAAAAGAGGGUGGCUUCUUGGAUGUUGGAUUGGGAAGCAGUAAGAAGUAAGAAGAGGAAUGGUCUUCUUCAACCCAUGUUCUCUGUCAAACACAGAAACUAUUGUAGAUUACUCCCAAAUCAUUCAUUCAAAUCAAUAUCCUUUUGUGAAUUCAGAAAGAUACAUUCAUAUGGAGCUGUAGCAGGCCCAGCACGUGUAAUACUAUCUUCAAAGAAUUCACUUAAAAACAUGAACUCUUAUGUCUUCUAUCUAUAUCAUCAGUUCCUUCAAAAGAGUAAACAGUACAGCUGGGGAUUCUAUAUGUAUCAGAGAAAACAGCAUGAAGCUGUAAGUGAUGUUGCCAGGAUAUGCAUGCAUUUGAAUUCUGAUCCAGCUGAAGCUGCCCUCUUUGGAAAAAAUGUUUAAUUUUGACACAAGAAAGAAUGUGCCCAGAAUAUUUUCUGGCCACUCAUAGCCCUGGCUGUAAAAAUAAAUGUGAAAAGUAAGAAACUGGGCACCUUUUCUUUCUCCUCUGGACUCUGUUGUUCAUCCUGAAUUCUCUGCUUUGCUAGGCAUUAUAUUUGAAAUCUUAGAG